UGGGGUGUAGCUCAGUGGUAGAGCGCUUGCCUUGAAUGUGUGAGGCACUGGGUUCCAUCCUCAGCACCACAC
This 72-nucleotide transfer RNA is filed under the name Marmota monax (woodchuck). It matches the Rfam family "tRNA". Rfam says of the family: Transfer RNA (tRNA) molecules are approximately 80 nucleotides in length. Their secondary structure includes four short double-helical elements and three loops (D, anti-codon, and T loops). The record is from Rfam by way of RNAcentral. Lineage: Eukaryota; Metazoa; Chordata; Mammalia; Rodentia; Sciuridae.